This 981-nucleotide ribosomal RNA is filed under the name human gut metagenome. Its description in RNAcentral is "bacterial LSU rRNA". It matches the Rfam family "Bacterial large subunit ribosomal RNA", at positions 1950 to 2925 of the family's 2925-position model. The record is from RNAcentral.
CCUAAGGUAGCGAAAUUCCUUGUCGGGUAAGUUCCGACCUGCACGAAUGGCGUAAUGAUGGCCAGGCUGUCUCCACCCGAGACUCAGUGAAAUUGAACUCGCUGUGAAGAUGCAGUGUACCCGCGGCAAGACGGAAAGACCCCGUGAACCUUUACUAUAGCUUGACACUGAACAUUGAGCCUUGAUGUGUAGGAUAGGUGGGAGGCUUUGAAGUGUGGACGCCAGUCUGCAUGGAGCCGUCCUUGAAAUACCACCCUUUAAUGGCUGGUGUUCUAACGUAGACCCGUAAUCCGGGUUGCGGACAGUGUCUGGUGGGUAGUUUGACUGGGGCGGUCUCCUCCUAAAGAGUAACGGAGGAGCACGAAGGUUGGCUAAUCCUGGUCGGACAUCAGGAGGUUAGUGCAAUGGCAUAAGCCAGCUUGACUGCGAGCGUGACGGCGCGAGCAGGUGCGAAAGCAGGUCAUAGUGAUCCGGUGGUUCUGAAUGGAAGGGCCAUCGCUCAACGGAUAAAAGGUACUCCGGGGAUAACAGGCUGAUACCGCCCAAGAGUUCAUAUCGACGGCGGUGUUUGGCACCUCGAUGUCGGCUCAUCACAUCCUGGGGCUGAAGUAGGUCCCAAGGGUAUGGCUGUUCGCCAUUUAAAGUGGUACGCGAGCUGGGUUUAGAACGUCGUGAGACAGUUCGGUCCCUAUCUGCCGUGGGCGCUGGAGAAUUGAGGGGGGCUGCUCCUAGUACGAGAGGACCGGAGUGGACGCAUCACUGGUGUUCGGGUUGUCAUGCCAAUGGCACUGCCCGGUAGCUAAAUGCGGAAGAGAUAAGUGCUGAAAGCAUCUAAGCACGAAACUUGCCCCGAGAUGAGUUCUCCCUGAGACUUUAAGUCUCCUGAAGGAACGUUGAAGACGACGACGUUGAUAGGCCGGGUGUGUAAGCGCAGCGAUGCGUUGAGCUAACCGGUACUAAUGAACCGUGAGGCUUAACCUU